This is a non-coding RNA of Delphinapterus leucas (beluga whale), 3943 nucleotides long. Lineage: Eukaryota; Metazoa; Chordata; Mammalia; Artiodactyla; Monodontidae. The record is from RefSeq and is a predicted model, not a curated record.
AGAAGCUCAAAGCCUUUAGAAGCUCAGGGCCUCUGUUUUAACUCUGGUGGAACAAAGGACAAAAGUAGGGUCUAUAUUGCACCAUCAACUGUUCACUUCCUGAAACAGCUCCUGGCAAGGCUAUUGCUAACCUCCGUGUUGCUAAAUCCACGGAUCAUUUCUCAAGUCCUCAUCUGCCUGGGACCACUGGGGCAUUUGGCACAGAUGGACACUCUUUCCUCCUAGAAAAAGAUUCUUGUCUUCUAGGACCACCUGCUCUCUCUUUCUCCGGUUUUCCACUCUGCUUCACUGGUUCCUUCUUCUCCCUCUCCUUUGCUGGUACCUCUUUUUCUCUCUGACCUCUCUAUGCUGGAGACCCCAGUGCUCAGGCUUUGACCCUCUUCUCCAUCUUUACUCACUUGGCGAUUCCACCCACUUUCAUUAAUUUAAAUACCAUUUAUAUCAUGCUGAUGACUACCAGAUUUUUAUUUCCAGACCAUACCUGUCAUCUGCUCUCAUACAGAACUACCUACUCCAUCCCCACAUGGAACUCUCAUAAACUUGUCACUCUCUCCAGGUCCAAGACUGAACUCCAUUUUUUUCCCUGCAAACCUGCUCUACCUGCAUGUUCAGGUUAGUGGAAACUCCAACUUUCCAGUGCCCUCAGCCCCAAACUUUAUUCCCCCUUCACUUCUCCUUCUCUCACAAUCCCCACCAUUCUGUCAAAGAAUCCUUCUGCUCUACCUCUGAAAUGUACCCAGAAGCUAACCGCCAUGCACCUCCUCCACGGCUGCCGUCCGGGUGGGGGCUGUGGUCCUCCCUUGCCUGGGUUACUGCAACAGGCUCCUAACUGGUCCUCCUGCUGCUACCCUCUGCCUCUGUCUUCCCAUGGCCUAUCCCUCUGUGUCUAUCUUCUCCUUUGCCCUCCCUCAUCAGCACACCCAUCACUGGGUUUAGGGCCUACCCUCAUCAGGAUGAUCUCACCUUGCCAGUGUCAUUUUCAUUACAUCUGCAAAGACUCUUACUCCAAAUACAGUUGCAUUCUAAGGCUCUGGGGGCACAGCUCUUUUGGGGGUCAGCAUUCACCCCACUAUGCUGCCCCACAGACUAGUCUCAAUACAGUAGCCCCAGUGAGCCUUUAAGAAAUUAAGUUAAAUUAUGAUACUCUGUGCUCAAAACCCUCUAAAGGCUCCCAUCUCACUUAGAGAAAAACCAAAGUCCUUCUGCCGGCCUAAAAGGCCCUGUGUGAUCUGGCUCUUAAACCUCUCUGUCCUCACCUCCCACUGUCCAGUCAUAACAGUGGCCCAGACUAGCGGAUGUGGAUUUGAGACAUGUUUUGACUUAGCAUCAAGAUCACCUGGUUACUGACAACACCCAGGAGGUAACACCUGACGAGGAACAAGUUGGGGAGGUGGAAAAGGUGGACGAAGGACUGAGCAACAAGGGCACGGAAGGUAUCUGUAAGAGAGUAACUGAAACAAAGGACUGGAAAUCUAAGCACUGGAUGGAGGCAAGUAAGACAAGAAGGGAAGGAAUUAAUGGACUGGAAAGGGGAACAAAGAACACCUGCAGCUGAGUACCCAGAACUUUAAGGUCACCUAAAAGUGGUCGAAACACUACAUACUAAGUCCAUGAAAGCUAAGAGCCCAGUGUAUUUAACACAAGAAGCAAAGGAGUUUUAGAUACAACCCCUCUACUACCAGGGUACCAAGUGCCACCCUACUUGCUAUCAAAGAGAACCAGAGGGACCUUUACAUUGAAAAGGUAAGAAGGAGGUACUGAAAUUCAAGGAAUAUCAUUCCAAAUCUGGAUUUCCUGCCACUAAAUCACUUCCAAGUGAUGUGCUUGAUUUUAUUGAUUUUGCUAUAACUGAUUCUAUGUAAGUGUCCUAUACACAAGUUUACCUGAUUCUUUAUCAUCUAAACCUACCCUCUGGUGUGGUGGUUCUCAACAGAUUUUGCCCCCUAAGGGAGAACUGGCAAUGUCUGUAGAUACUUUUGGCCAUCACAACUGGGAGGAAGGGUGCACGAGCAUCUGGUGGGUAGAGGCCGGAUGCUAUUCAACAUCCCACAAUGCACAGGACAGCUCCACCCCAACAAGGAAUUAUUCAGCCCCAAAUGUCAAUAGUGCUCAGGUUGAAAAACCCUGCUCCAGAACAAACAUGCCUGCAAAUGUACACUAUUUACAUCAGAGAGAGGAGGGCUCAACUUGGGAUCCAAGUAACAAACUGUCUUCAAAUUUUCUGUACCACAAAUAUACCAACAGCCUAAAUAAAACUACCUUAGUUUUUAGAAAAACAUCAAUAUAUUAGUGCACAAAACCUUGUAGACUUAGAUAUGUAAGAAAGCAUAUGGAUGCCCUCGAUGACUUCUUCCUACCUCCUUCCUUCCUUGCCUGGUUUUUCCCAUUCUCCUGUUUAUUUCUCUCCAGAAGGAGCUCUGUUCUUCACCAAUUCCUGCAUACUGGAAUAUUAAGUUCCAAAGAUAAAUUAACUUUGAUAAAAUUCCUUUAUCAGAAGUAAAUGUGAAAGUCUGAAGAAUUUAGUGAGCUGGCCUUUUGCCCAUAUACAGAAAUGAUUAAAGACUAGACUGCGAUUAAAUUCUGAGCAGAGUGACAUAAUUAGCAAAUUUAUGAAUGGGUCUUCUUUUCACAGUUCUACUGUCAGGACUAAUUACUUGUAUUAAUUAGAACUGUCAACACAUGAAUAUGCUUGUUGAAGCCACUUCCUAUGGUAAAGUACGAGACUGGUAAAUAUGAAGACACUUGGAAAGAUGCAAAGACCUUCAUUUAUUAGCAACUCUAAAUGAUGCAGAAGCACUGACUGCACAAUGAGCCCUGGGGAUUGACUGUAAAUGGAUUCCUAGUUAAUGAAUUUGUUCUCCCUUGCUUAGGCGUUAUUCUUGGUUUAGCGUUUGGACGAAAUACUCAAUGUAUCACUACUUCAGAAGGACUGUAGCAAGAAUAAGGAAAAAAUUCUGCAAGUUACUGGAAAAGUAGAGUAGCAGGGAUGGUUAAGUUGAGCAAGAGAGAGGUCCUGUCUCAUCUUUGAUUAGUCUGAGAUCUAGUGUAAAACAAGUUUUGAGAACUGCUUAAGUGAAACGGGAAGGACAGCUGGGGGAUUAAAAACUAGAGUUUGAGACCCAGUUUUAACUCUGUGUGACCUUGGGUAAGUGGACAAGUUACUAAGCCUCUCUGUGCCUUGGUUUGCUCAUCUGAAAAAUGGGGACAGCAACAGAACUUGUAGAGGGCUGUGGUGAGCCUUAAAUGUCAACAUAUAUAAAGGGCUUAGAGCGGUGCCCAGCACAAGCUACGUGCUGGCUGUUACUGUUUUCAUAGUCAUCACCUGGGAUGGCAGCAGAAACGGAAUUUCGAGCUCCAAGAACGAGAUCCUUGGAGCAGGACGCAGUGCUUUGGAGUCAGAUAGAGUCGAGAGACACACAUUUCUGACAGUGUGGAGAUGGCCCGACUCAUGGAGGCUGCAGGGAGCAUUUGGGGAAUGAAUGAGAAGCAUCUCCUAGGGUCCCUCCCAAUUCCAAAAGCUAAUGCUUCUGCAUGCAGCAAGAUGUCGAUGCUAAACUCGAUUUCAAUUAAAAACCCAUUUCUGUACAAAUGUUAUAAAACUAGACUAAUAAAAUGUAAGUUGAUGACUCCUAAUUUUGUCUUAAAAAUUAUGUGAUACCUUAAAGAUCAAUCUGGCCAAAACUCCAUAGCAUCAAAUAAUCAGUGCAUAAAAAGAAAACCUAGUUGUAGGAUGUUCUGGAUCCAUUCACAAGAAAGCUCGGUUAAAUGCAAGACACUGGUAAAUCUGCUAGAGUUCCCAAUGUCAUGUUAGACAGCAAGCUGCUCCCAGCUGCUCCCUGGAACCCCUUAAAACUUAAAGGGUAGAGCUUCCCCCCUCUACUCUAGUUGCUCACUAGAUAGUUCUCGAAGCAAAUGCAGGUACCAGAGGAUCUUCCUGACAGGU